UACGGAGGGUGCGAGCGUUAAUCGGAAUAACUGGGCGUAAAGGGCACGCAGGCGGGCUUUUAAGUGAGGUGUGAAAUCCCCGGGCUUAACCUGGGAAUAGCAUUUCAGACUGGGAGUCUAGAGUACUUUAGGGAGGGGUAGAAUUCCACGUGUAGCGGUGAAAUGCGUAGAGAUGUGGAGGAAUACCGAAGGCGAAGGCAGCCACCUGGGAAUGUACUGACACUGAGGAGCGAAAGCGUGGGGAGCGAACAGG
RNAcentral lists this ribosomal RNA (253 nucleotides) under uncultured bacterium. RNAcentral describes it as "partial 16S ribosomal RNA". It matches the Rfam family "Bacterial small subunit ribosomal RNA", at positions 524 to 776 of the family's 1533-position model. The record is from RNAcentral.